Long non-coding RNA from Brassica napus (rape), 1358 nucleotides. RefSeq lists it as uncharacterized. The record is from RefSeq and is a predicted model, not a curated record. The transcript has 2 exons. Lineage: Eukaryota; Viridiplantae; Streptophyta; Magnoliopsida; Brassicales; Brassicaceae.
UAUUAAAUAUCCAAGGUUGUUUAAAACUUUCAAACAAUCUGGUCUUUGGACGGAUUCAAAGCAAAAUUAUAUAUCUACUAAUAAUAGCAAUUCCAAUUAAUUUCAAAAGUUGUGUCAUUUCAUAAAAAACUGAAAUCUUAAGAGUUGUAUUUUUUUAUUAUAAAAGUUGUGUCUUUUCAUAAAAAAUAAAAUUUAUUAAUUUUAAGAGUUGUAUCUUUUCACUAUAAAAAUUGUAUAUUUCCAAUUAAUUUCAAAAAUUUUGUCAUUUCAUAAAAAAAAUUGAAAUCUUAAGAAUUGUAUCUUUUCAUUAUAAAAGUUGUGUCUUUUCUAAUGGUUAAGUUUAUUAAUACUUUGUAAUCUAACGGACAUGAUCAUCUCUCAUUUAUAAGAUCCGACGUCAUCAAUCUCGUUCACCAAAAGGCGUCUCAGUCAACUGCUAUCUGAACGAUGCACCCCUUAUACAUCCGCCUCUUCUCAAAGGACACCUCAUUUGCCUCCUUUUGGAUACAACACGUCUCUAAAAUCCAUCUAUACAUUGAACUUUCAGAGUUCUUAUCCCUUUAAAUAUUCCAUCAUCAAUCUAUCUCUUUAUAUUUUCCAUCAUCCUCGUCCAGAUUAAGAUGUAAGAAUUCCUCUCAGACAAUUCAUCACCAUCGUCGUACAUGGACAGACUUUUCAAAAGAAAUUAAUUGUUUGGUACUGCGUGGGAGGAGAUGGAGUGAAUCACGUAGUCUUUUGGCCAAAGAACAAUCUAUCUUCCCAAGUUUUUUUACUGCAGUUAGUUGAAAUGUAGUUUUACUCAAUUUUCGUUGAGCGUUUCUGUAUUUCUGUUAAUUGCCGUUUGACGUUUUCUAGCAGAAUUGAUCUGGGAGUCGCUUAUGUAUCAUUUUUAAGUUUUUUCAAAAAAAAUUGAUCCAGAUUAUUGAGUUAUGAUUAAAGGAGUUUGAAGAGGAAAAUAAACAAUUACUAACGAGUAUGGUCAAGCACAGCCUUAAUAACAUCCAUAAGUGCAUCACUCACGCGUGUGCCUUGAAGUGGGAAAGUUUGGAGUUGGAAAAGAAGUAGACUACAACGUUACGUCUCUAUGGGAACCCGAUCUUUAUGAUAUUACAAAUCAUUAAUUUAUUAAUACAAGUAUAAUCUCUUCGUAACAGAAGCUACGUAUUAAUGUAAAUUAUAUGCUUUAGAGUUUUGAGUGAUUUAAAGAAUGUAUAUAGUUGUGUUGUUCUUUGUCCGUCAAAAAGAAAGACUGUAAAAACAGAUGAAGAAAGAAACCAACAAUGAGUUCAUCAAAAGUUGUGAUCAUAUUUUUAGUUUCAUCAAAUUCUUGUAACAUGUGAAAGAAAAGCUUUCACAGA